UCUCAUAAAUGUUAUAUUAAAUUUUAGAAUUAAUUUUAUACAUAUCCCUAUAAAAUUUAUAGUAAAUAACAAAUAUAUUUUUAUAAAAUAUAAUUUUUAUAUAUUAUCUCUGUAAAAAUUAUAAUAUUUUUAAAUAUAUUUCUUUAUUUUGUUACCGUUAAAAUAGUGUCUAUUUUAUAAGUAAAAUAAUUUUUUUACCAUCAUAAAUAUACUCCUGAGAUUAAUUGAAGAGAAAUAAAACGGCCAAUUUAUCUCAUUAACUAACUGCGGUUAAGUAUUUGAUAUAUGAUUAACUAAAAUUUUUUAAUGGGUUCUAACGUCAGGAAUAUAUUUAAAAAUAUUAAUAUUUUUGUAGGAAUAAUAUAUAAAAAUUAAAUUUUAUAAAAAUAUGUUUAUUAUUUAUUAUGUUUGUAGGGAUCUACCUGCAAUUAAUUCUAAAUUUUAUUAUAUUAGAUGACCAAAUCCU
This 466-nucleotide long non-coding RNA is filed under the name Ananas comosus (pineapple). RNAcentral describes it as "long non-coding RNA (ACOM_LNC000180)". Lineage: Eukaryota; Viridiplantae; Streptophyta; Magnoliopsida; Poales; Bromeliaceae. The record is from RNAcentral.